This 1224-nucleotide ribosomal RNA is filed under the name Bacillus pumilus. RNAcentral describes it as "bacterial SSU rRNA". It matches the Rfam family "Bacterial small subunit ribosomal RNA", at positions 76 to 1286 of the family's 1533-position model. The record is from RNAcentral. Lineage: Bacteria; Bacillati; Bacillota; Bacilli; Caryophanales; Bacillaceae.
GAGCUUGCUCCCGGAUGUUAGCGGCGGACGGGUGAGUAACACGUGGGUAACCUGCCUGUAAGACUGGGAUAACUCCGGGAAACCGGAGCUAAUACCGGAUAGUUCCUUGAACCGCAUGGUUCAAGGAUGAAAGACGGUUUCGGCUGUCACUUACAGAUGGACCCGCGGCGCAUUAGCUAGUUGGUGGGGUAAUGGCUCACCAAGGCGACGAUGCGUAGCCGACCUGAGAGGGUGAUCGGCCACACUGGGACUGAGACACGGCCCAGACUCCUACGGGAGGCAGCAGUAGGGAAUCUUCCGCAAUGGACGAAAGUCUGACGGAGCAACGCCGCGUGAGUGAUGAAGGUUUUCGGAUCGUAAAGCUCUGUUGUUAGGGAAGAACAAGUGCGAGAGUAACCGCUCGCACCUUGACGGUACCUAACCAGAAAGCCACGGCUAACUACGUGCCAGCAGCCGCGGUAAUACGUAGGUGGCAAGCGUUGUCCGGAAUUAUUGGGCGUAAAGGGCUCGCAGGCGGUUUCUUAAGUCUGAUGUGAAAGCCCCCGGCUCAACCGGGGAGGGUCAUUGGAAACUGGGAAACUUGAGUGCAGAAGAGGAGAGUGGAAUUCCACGUGUAGCGGUGAAAUGCGUAGAGAUGUGGAGGAACACCAGUGGCGAAGGCGACUCUCUGGUCUGUAACUGACGCUGAGGAGCGAAAGCGUGGGGAGCGAACAGGAUUAGAUACCCUGGUAGUCCACGCCGUAAACGAUGAGUGCUAAGUGUUAGGGGGUUUCCGCCCCUUAGUGCUACAGCUAACGCAUUAAGCACUCCGCCUGGGGAGUACGGUCGCAAGACUGAAACUCAAAGGAAUUGACGGGGGCCCGCACAAGCGGUGGAGCAUGUGGUUUAAUUCGAAGCAACGCGAAGAACCUUACCAGGUCUUGACAUCCUCUGACAACCCUAGAGAUAGGGCUUUCCCUUCGGGGACAGAGUGACAGGUGGUGCAUGGUUGUCGUCAGCUCGUGUCGUGAGAUGUUGGGUUAAGUCCCGCAACGAGCGCAACCCUUGAUCUUAGUUGCCAGCAUUUAGUUGGGCACUCUAAGGUGACUGCCGGUGACAAACCGGAGGAAGGUGGGGAUGACGUCAAAUCAUCAUGCCCCUUAUGACCUGGGCUACACACGUGCUACAAUGGACAGAACAAAGGGCUGCGAGACCGCAAGGUUUAGCCAAUCCCAUAAAUCUGUU